ACGAAAAUAACUGAUGUUACUAAACGUCUACAACAGUUAAAACACAUAGAAUCCGAUUUAGAUAAUACAAAGGAAAAACAAGUACCGGAAAUGCCAACAGUAAAAUAUACCAAAAAGGAGAGAAGUUCAACACAUUUUUCAAUUGAAUACCCUUCAUUCGGGGAUAUAAUUUACCGUAGAAAGAGUACUGAACAAAAAAUCAAAACAGAGAAGAUAGAUACAACAAAAAAUACCAGAUUACGCAGAGAACAAUCAAACGAGAGAAUGUAUACAUAUUUGUACGCAUGUAGCGAUUGUAGGACAGAAAUAGUAACUGAG
Mytilus trossulus (common blue mussel) is the source of this 318-nucleotide long non-coding RNA. RefSeq lists it as uncharacterized. The record is from RefSeq and is a predicted model, not a curated record. The transcript is spliced from 4 exons. NCBI's taxonomy places the organism in Eukaryota, Metazoa, Mollusca, Bivalvia, Mytilida, Mytilidae.